GCCCCUAAAAUAAAGAGCCUAAAUACUAGAACAAAAGCGCCUAUACCUAACAAGAUUAAGUGAAUGCCCAAAAUUGUGGUCAUUUUAUUUCUAUCUUUCCA
This 101-nucleotide antisense RNA is filed under the name Beta vulgaris subsp. vulgaris (sugar beet). RNAcentral describes it as "lncRNA IsrR". It matches the Rfam family "Antisense RNA which regulates isiA expression", at positions 87 to 187 of the family's 187-position model. Lineage: Eukaryota; Viridiplantae; Streptophyta; Magnoliopsida; Caryophyllales; Amaranthaceae. The record is from RNAcentral.